This is a non-coding RNA of Trichonephila inaurata madagascariensis, 73 nucleotides long. The record is from the annotation of a GenBank genome assembly. NCBI's taxonomy places the organism in Eukaryota, Metazoa, Arthropoda, Arachnida, Araneae, Nephilidae.
UUCCUUGUAGCGCAAAGAACAGCGCGUUGGACUUCCAAUCCAAAAAUCGUACGUUCGAAUCUUACCUGGGGUG